RNAcentral lists this unclassified non-coding RNA (220 nucleotides) under plant metagenome. RNAcentral's name for it is "partial contains small subunit ribosomal RNA, internal transcribed spacer 1, and 5.8S ribosomal RNA". The record is from RNAcentral.
UCUCCGUAGGUGAACCUGCGGAGGGAUCAUUACAGAGUUCGUGCCCUCACGGGUGGAUCUCCCACCCUGUGUUAUUAUACCUUUGUUGCUUUGGCGGGCCUCCCUCGUCUACCGGCCCCGGCUGGUACGCGCCCGCCAGAGGACUCCAAACUCUGACUGUUAGUGUUGUCUGAGUACUAUACAAUAGUUAAAACUUUCAACAACGGAUCUCUUGGUUCUG